UCCAGACUCCUACGGGAGGCAGCAGUGAGGAAUAUUGGUCAAUGGGCGGGAGCCUGAACCAGCCAAGUCGCGUGAGGGAUGACGGUCCUACGGAUUGUAAACCUCUUUUGCCGGGGAGCAAGCGUGCGUUCGUGAACGCGCGUCGAGAGUACCCGAAGAAAAAGCAUCGGCUAACUCCGUGCCAGCAGCCGCGGUAAUACGGAGGAUGCGAGCGUUAUCCGGAUUUAUUGGGUUUAAAGGGUGCGCAGGCGGAUUUUUAAGUCAGCGGUCAAAUCGUGGGGCUCAACCCCAUCCAGCCGUUGAAACUGGGGAUCUAGAGUGUGCGAGAGGUAUGCGGAAUGCGUGGUGUAGCGGUGAAAUGCAUAGAUAUCACGCAGAACCCCGAUUGCGAAGGCAGCAUACCGGUGCACAACUGACGCUCAGGCACGAAAGCGUGGGUAUCGAACAGGAUUAGAUACCUGUAGC
This 465-nucleotide ribosomal RNA is filed under the name uncultured bacterium. RNAcentral describes it as "bacterial SSU rRNA". It matches the Rfam family "Bacterial small subunit ribosomal RNA", at positions 330 to 794 of the family's 1533-position model. The record is from RNAcentral.